AACGAACGCUGGCGGCAUGCCUAACACAUGCAAGUCGAACGAGACCAUCGGGUCUAGUUGCUCACGGGUGCGUAACGCGUGGGAACCUGCCCUUAGGUUCCGAAUAACUCCCUGUAAGGGGUGCUAAUACCGGAUAAUGUCUUCGGACCAAAGAUUGAUCGCGUUUGGAUGGGCCCGCGUUGGAUUAGCCGGUUGGUAGGGUAAAAGCCUACCAAGGCGUGGAUCCAUAGCUGGGAUGAGAGGCUGAUCAGCCACACUGGGGCUAAGGCACGGCCCAGAAUCCUGGGCGAGGGAGGAGAGGGGGAUAUAGGAAGACGGGGGAAGGCAUGAAGACGCAAUGCCGGGAGAGUGAUGAAGGCGGUAGGGAAGUAAAGCACGUUUACACGGGGUGAUACUGACGGUACCGGGAGAAUAAGCACCGGCUAACUCCGUG
RNAcentral lists this ribosomal RNA (433 nucleotides) under uncultured bacterium. Its description in RNAcentral is "partial 16S ribosomal RNA". It matches the Rfam family "Bacterial small subunit ribosomal RNA", at positions 29 to 507 of the family's 1533-position model. The record is from RNAcentral.